CGUGAUAGACGGUCGUGACCGCUAGUCUCUCGUAGUUUAGUUCCGCCUGUUUUUGUAUUGUGCCGCGAGUUAUCAAUAUCAUUUAUCAAUCGUAGGACUUUGAUUAUUUUCGUAUUUACUCCAAGUUUUGUGAUCAUCAACACGGUUACACUAUUAAGAAUAUUUCAGUGUUAUAAUCCUGUGUUGCUUGAUUUCAAGCUCUCGAAAAUUUCGUUAAGUAAUGUGCACGAAAAUUAAAUAACUACAGGCAGAAACAUUUAAAUGGGUGCCGUUCAGUAGUUUGUGAGUGGAUUGGAAGGAUGGGGACUGACGAUGGGGGAUUGCGGCCACUGCUCUAAAUUCGUCACCAUGCAGCUGUUUCACGAGUUGAAGCAACAGUUCCCCACGCUCCCCGACCACGUUGUCUCCCAAUGCAUCGUCCAGAGCAAUCGCGAUCGGGAGACGUGCACAAGACGGUUGCGAGCAAGACAGGACUCGCGACCACCCCCGGGUGCCUUUCCACCACCAGCGCCACAACCCGAAGAUCCUAUAGCUGAGAUUUACUUGUCGGAGUAUCCGCCGCUGAGGCUUGCAAUGAGCGAGCAACGUCAAAAUCCGCAACAACAAUUGGCUGCCGUGGACCCAUCCAAACUGCGGCCACUGACGCUGGACGUGGAUACGCGGUCAGCGGCCAUACAGACCUCGAGUCAAGAAUCCUCGGCUUCAUCGGCUCCCAUGCUCAGCGAUCCUUUCCUGGCCGCGCAAUCGAAGCCUGCAUCAUCGUUCGCGCUCAGCGUCAAUGUCAAUUGCAGUCCGGUCGUUGAGGCGCACGACCUGCUGACGACAUGCGUACCGGAUGAAUUGUCAGGCUACCAGCCGAUCUUGAUCCCCGCGGAUCCUACCCCGCGAAGUGUCACUUCGGUCAGUUUAACCCUGCGACCACCGUCGAGCGAAGCCCCGCUACAACAACCCACCACUUCGAGCAGCAUCGACAUCAGUUCGCAAGGACUGAGCAGUCUUACCUACUCCAGUUCGGAUCCUCGCGCUGGUGGUUAUCAAAGUCACCUGCAAAUCAGCAUCGCUCGAAACAAACGACCGAAACUGCGACAGCCGCAGAGGCCUAAUACAUUGGAUACAUCGAUUUACGACUUGAGAGCUCAAUCCAGCCGACCGCCCGGGUUGCCAUCAGGACCAGCCAAUCUGUUACCUCCCCUAACAGCAGCGAUGAGCGCACCAACUACACCAUCAAGUCCAGCGCAAAACAUUGCUUUACCGUCAAGCAGUUUGCCGACGACACCACUGGCUGGACCCUCUACGGGUCUUGCCGCGAUCUCUUGUAUACCUCAUCAUACGGCUAGUCGUGAAAAUUCGUCUGGGUAUCCGUCGCAAUACCAAGGAAUUUUGGCCGAUGUUCCGUACGAGCUGAAAUCUCUGGUGACAAAUCAAUUGAUCAGCAGGGAUCGACUUGCAGCAGUAGUAGCAGCCGAGAAACAAAAAUUAGCCGCCUUGGAGCAGGAAGUUGAAAUGCUGAAUAAAGAAAUAUCACCAGAGGAAUAUGAACGACAAUUACACAGUGAGAUAUAUCACUUGCAGCUAGAAUGCGAUAAGUUAGCCGACGAGGUUGACCGCGCUUCCGGUUCUCGAGUUCCCCUCGGAGAGACGAGUGAAGAAUUCUAUCAAAAUAUAUACACAGGUCAGCAAUUCGUUCCGACAACAACUAACAGAGAACCACCGCCUUUACCUAGUCAACCGCCCGCAUGGGAGCCGCAAUCGACUAGAACUGCAAAUCAGGACGAGCCAGAAGGACCACCUUGGUUCUGCUCUCAAUGCACUUUUGCAAAUCACCCACAAAUACAAAAAUGCGAGUUAUGCGAAUCGCCAAGGUUCGUCGAGCGUCGUGAAGGUACUGCUAAUCAUACGACAGGCUUUUACAACUUUCCUUCUACAUCAAGAUGAUUAAUGCAUAUCGAGUUUAACGAUUUUUCUCAAUAACUGCAUGUGUCAAGUAACACUCAAGAUAUUCGCAUAAGAGUUACUCAUCAUCACGAACUUCCACCGCGACGAACACUCAAUAAUUGGGUAAUAUGAUGUCUAUCAAUCAACAAGAAUUUCAAUUUGUAUAUAAAAAAU
Molecule: RNA transcript, 2109 nt
Organism: Phymastichus coffea
Lineage: Eukaryota; Metazoa; Arthropoda; Insecta; Hymenoptera; Eulophidae
Gene: Tab2
Gene name: mitogen-activated protein kinase kinase kinase 7-interacting protein 3 homolog
Exons: 10
Source: RefSeq, a predicted model, not a curated record